Bos taurus (domestic cattle) is the source of this 72-nucleotide non-coding RNA. Lineage: Eukaryota; Metazoa; Chordata; Mammalia; Artiodactyla; Bovidae. The record is from Rfam.
UCCCUGCUGGUCCAGUGGCUAAGACUCUGCACUUCCAAUGCAGGGGCCUGGGUUGGAUCCCUGGUCAGGGAA